This is a long non-coding RNA of Cryptomeria japonica (Japanese cedar), 854 nucleotides long. RefSeq lists it as uncharacterized. The record is from RefSeq and is a predicted model, not a curated record. The transcript has 3 exons. NCBI's taxonomy places the organism in Eukaryota, Viridiplantae, Streptophyta, Pinopsida, Cupressales, Cupressaceae.
UACCAUACUACAUAAAUCAGACAUUCUCUGAUUUCAUAACAUUAUCUGAUACUUUCUUCGUGCUUUUCCUUCAAAAUCUGGGGGAUAUCAUUCUGGGCCCAUCUGUUAUAGGACGGAAUGAGUCUUACAUGAGCACUGUUUUCCCCAAGAAGUGUACCUCUGUUCUUGAAACUGUUGCAAAUAUCGGACUUCUAUUCUUUCUCUUUCUGGUUGGGCUGGACUCACCUUGGGAUUCCUGAUGAACACCAAAGGGCUGGUAGAGUUGAUUGUCCUCAACAUUGGCAAGGAGAGGAAGAUGCUACACCACAGAGCAGAACAUAAACUGCUAUGACCGGACUUUUGCCUGAGGCUGACAGAGCAACAGCAAUUGGUAAGAGAACCCAAGCAACCACAUCGUUGACAGCUGCUGCAGACAUGGCCAUCUGACCCACAUCUCUUUAAAGAAGUUUGAGCUCUGCAAGCACAGGGAAGGCAGUGAUAGACAAUGCAACACCCAUGAAGACAAGAAAGGCGCCAUAAUCCACACCUUUUGAAAUUGUUGACCUGAGUAGAAAAGCAACCCCAAUCUCAGCUAGGAACGGUCAAUUGGCAGAGCUUUUCUUCCUGUUCGCCUAAUGGCACCAAAAUCUAACUCCAGCCCAACCAGAAAGAGAAAGAAUAGAAGCCCGAUAUUGGCAACAGUUUCAAGAACAGGGGUACUCUUCUUGGGGGAAAACAGUGCUCAUGUAAGAUUCAUUGCGUCCUAUAGCAGAUGGGCCCAGAAUGUUUCCCCCCUGCAAGAAAAAAUCUAAACUUCUUUAAUACCAUACUACCUUACAUUGAAUAUUUUAAUAAAAAAUAUAUUAUUUUCUUCA